Molecule: ribosomal RNA, 890 nt
Filed under: Acrophialophora fusispora
Lineage: Eukaryota; Fungi; Ascomycota; Sordariomycetes; Sordariales; Chaetomiaceae
Description: eukaryotic LSU rRNA
Rfam family: Eukaryotic large subunit ribosomal RNA
Source: RNAcentral
GCGGAGGAAAAGAAACCAACAGGGAUUGCCCUAGUAACGGCGAGUGAAGCGGCAACAGCUCAAAUUUGAAAUCUGGCUUCGGCCCGAGUUGUAAUUUGCAGAGGAAGCUUUAGGCGCGGCACCUCCUGAGUCCCCUGGAACGGGGCGCCACAGAGGGUGAGAGCCCCGUAUAGUUGGAUGCCUAGCCUGUGUAAAGCUCCUUCGACGAGUCGAGUAGUUUGGGAAUGCUGCUCAAAAUGGGAGGUAAAUUUCUUCUAAAGCUAAAUACCGGCCAGAGACCGAUAGCGCACAAGUAGAGUGAUCGAAAGAUGAAAAGCACUUUGAAAAGAGGGUUAAAUAGCACGUGAAAUUGUUGAAAGGGAAGCGCUUGUGACCAGACUUGCGCCGGGCUGAUCAUCCGGUGUUCUCACCGGUGCACUCUGCCCGGCUCAGGCCAGCAUCGGUUCUCGCGGGGGGAUAAAGGCCCUGGGAACGUAGCUCCUCCGGGAGUGUUAUAGCCCGGGGCGUAAUGCCCUCGCGGGGACCGAGGUUCGCGCUCUGCAAGGAUGCUGGCGUAAUGGUCAUCAGCGACCCGUCUUGAAACACGGACCAAGGAGUCAAGGUUUUGCGCGAGUGUUUGGGUGUAAAACCCGCACGCGUAAUGAAAGUGAACGUAGGUGAGAGCUUCGGCGCAUCAUCGACCGAUCCUGAUGUUCUCGGAUGGAUUUGAGUAGGAGCGUUAAGCCUUGGACCCGAAAGAUGGUGAACUAUGCUUGGAUAGGGUGAAGCCAGAGGAAACUCUGGUGGAGGCUCGCAGCGGUUCUGACGUGCAAAUCGAUCGUCAAAUCUGAGCAUGGGGGCGAAAGACUAAUCGAACCAUCUAGUAGCUGGUUACCGCCGAUUUUCCCUCU